Molecule: non-coding RNA, 72 nt
Organism: Phrynosoma platyrhinos (Desert horned lizard)
Lineage: Eukaryota; Metazoa; Chordata; Lepidosauria; Squamata; Phrynosomatidae
Source: the annotation of a GenBank genome assembly
AGAAAAGUGGCAUAGUGGUUUGAGCAUUGGACUACAACUCUGGCGACUAGGGUUCGAUUCUCAGCUCAUUUG